GGAUAUGAGAGCGAUCUGGCUGUGACAUGUCAACCCACUGAUCUCUGGGGUUGAUGCAGCUGACCUGGCUGGGUAGGCAGGUGCCCCCUUCCUCCCUCACUGCUCCACGUGUGCCCCUCAAAACCUGCACGCCGGGUAAUAAUGGAGAUGACCACACCCAAUAGGAGAACCGUCUCCUGGGUCUCAGGAAUUCCAGCAGCUUCGUCCUCCUGCUAGAAUUUCCAACCAAAAAAAAAAGUCCUUGUAUAUAAAAUGCUAGGCUGACAGCUAUUUCUUCCAGGGCUUUAGUGAUGCUGCUCUGUUAU
Fukomys damarensis (Damara mole-rat) is the source of this 305-nucleotide unclassified non-coding RNA. Its record names the gene 7SK. It matches the Rfam family "7SK RNA". Rfam says of the family: 7SK was discovered as an abundant small nuclear RNA in the mid-70s but a possible function has only recently been suggested. Two independent studies have found that 7SK RNA binds the CDK9/cyclin T complex (known as elongation factor P-TEFb). P-TEFb activates transcription by phosphorylating the C-terminal domain of RNA polymerase II. Lineage: Eukaryota; Metazoa; Chordata; Mammalia; Rodentia; Bathyergidae. The record is from Ensembl.